GGCGCUAUAGCCAAGUGGUUACGGCGACAGAUUCGAAUAAUUGUUAUCUGUUCCUCUUUGAGGGCGCAGGUUCAAAUCCUGCUGGCGUCG
RNAcentral lists this transfer RNA (90 nucleotides) under Lentinula guzmanii. It matches the Rfam family "tRNA". From Rfam's summary of the family: Transfer RNA (tRNA) molecules are approximately 80 nucleotides in length. Lineage: Eukaryota; Fungi; Basidiomycota; Agaricomycetes; Agaricales; Omphalotaceae. The record is from Rfam by way of RNAcentral.